This 304-nucleotide ribosomal RNA is filed under the name uncultured bacterium. RNAcentral's name for it is "partial 16S ribosomal RNA". It matches the Rfam family "Bacterial small subunit ribosomal RNA", at positions 506 to 807 of the family's 1533-position model. The record is from RNAcentral.
CAGCAGUAGCCGCGGUAAUACAGAGGGUGCGAGCGUUAAUCGGAUUUACUGGGCGUAAAGCGUGCGUAGGCGGCUUUUUAAGUCGGAUGUGAAAUCCCUGAGCUUAACUUAGGAAUUGCAGUCGAUACUGGGAAGCUAGAGUAUGGGAGAGGAUGGUAGAAUUCCAGGUGUAGCGGUGAAAUGCGUAGAGAUCUGGAGGAAUACCGAUGGCGAAGGCAGCCAUCUGGCCUAAUACUGACGCUGAGGUACGAAAGCAUGGGGAGCAAACAGGAUUAGAUACCCCCGUAGUCCCUGUCUCUUAUAC